Long non-coding RNA from Mytilus californianus (California mussel), 858 nucleotides. RefSeq lists it as uncharacterized. The transcript is spliced from 2 exons. The record is from RefSeq and is a predicted model, not a curated record. Lineage: Eukaryota; Metazoa; Mollusca; Bivalvia; Mytilida; Mytilidae.
UCCUGUAACAAAUUUUCAAAACCCUUCAAUCACGAUGAAGUAAUCAAUGACGUUAAACAGUUCAUUUAAUGGAUCUUUCAUUUAAUAUAUAAACCCUUCAAAUUCAAUCUUUAACUCAGAUUUAAUUUUAACGAAUGCAGUUAAACAUGGGAAAAGGACACAUAGCUAUCUCUGCACCAACAAAACAUGUCAGUGAUACAAGGCUGAACAGUCCGAGUUUUGGAAACGGAUCUCAACUGACGCCAACAAUUUCUGUUGAAGACUUUUGCAGUGAAGAACCAUUUAGGGCACGGCCGGAAUCAAGGAAUUCAAUCUCAUCAAUAAGUUCUGACCUUGGCUAUCUUACAAUCCAAGAAAAACUCAAAAGUAAAGACCGUAGACCUAAAUCCGCUGACACCUAUCGACGGAAGUCGGAAAUUUCAAAACAAACAGUUAACAUUUCUUGUCUUAGAAAAGCAGCAUCUGAAAACAUUUUAAGCAGCGAAGUUAAUUCAAAAGAAUGUAGGUGUACUUGUUCGUCAACUGGUGGAUCAGUAAAUACCGGAGUUUUAGGAAGCCAACUUGUGUCGUUUUACAGUCUUUGGAGAAACAACCAACCCAGAACUUUGGGCAAAAAGCUUGAAAUUCCUUCUUAUAUGAAGAGAACAUCAGACUAUAGAGAAUGCGGCUGCAAAACAAGACUUUAUGAGAAGAGGUGCUCUGAAGAAAAAUCUUUAGAAUGUUGCUGUCAUGACGUUUAAAAAGGACAAAAAUUUUAAGGUGCUUGUGCAAUCAUUUAGAUGAACUAAUUUUAAUGUAAGCUAUUCGAUUGUAUAUUUUUUUGUAUACUUUGUUACAUAAAAUUAUAAUGAAAUUCUU